Gopherus evgoodei (Goodes thornscrub tortoise) is the source of this 1567-nucleotide long non-coding RNA. RefSeq lists it as uncharacterized. NCBI's taxonomy places the organism in Eukaryota, Metazoa, Chordata, Testudines, Testudinidae. The transcript has 4 exons. The record is from RefSeq and is a predicted model, not a curated record.
AGAUGAGGUCUCACCAGUGCCUUGUGUAAUAGUACUAACACUUCCUUGUCUAUACUGGAAAUAUCUUACCUGAUGCAUCUGAGGAUUGCAUUAGCCUUUUUCAUGGCCACAUCACAUUGUCCGCUCAUUGUCAUCCUAUGAUCAACCAAUACACCCAGGUCUUUCUCUUCCUCUGUUGCUCCCAACUGAUUAGUCUCCAGUUUAUGGUAAAAAUUCUUGUAUUGUCCCCAAGUGCCUGACGUUGCCCUUUGCACUAUUUAAUUUCUUGCCAUUUCUUUCUCCAGUUUUCAAGGUCGUCCAGAUAUUUGUGUAUUAUAUUUGGGUCAUCCUCGGUAUUGGCAAUACCUCCCAGCUUUGUGUCAUCUGCAAAUUUUAUUAGCACAUUCCCAACUUGUGCAUCAAGGCUUCUACUGGACUGGGAUUCAGCUGCAAAGGUGGACAAGCAUGAGAAGAGACAUCAAACAGUUCAUUAUUGUCUCAGAAAAGGUUCAGUGCAUCUCCAGAAAAAAGGACCUGUGGAAUGUCAAGGCUGAAAAAAUGAUACUUUGUAAAAUUCAGAUUCAGUAUAUUCUCAGACCUUCCAGUUCUCUGCACCCGAGAAGACAAAGAAAACAGCUGUUGGAAUCUGGGGGAGGGAUCCUAACCUGAAGAGUUUGGUCAGUAACACUGCUGGAAGCAUGUGGCUCUGGAUAACCCUAUUUAAGUCCUUUCAGGCAUUCCACAUUCUGGAGGACAUCAAAAUCCUAGAGGUUCCUGAAUGGCAAAAGGACAUUCUGUUCCAAGGUACCGAUGACAAGCAAGCCGUGUCUGCCACAGAGGUUUUCAAGCUUAUGGUGACUUAGCAACACAUCUAUGAGUGGAGUUGGCUGGUGUUCUAUAGCGGAAGGCCCGAGAAAUAUACCCUUCCCCGAAAUGUGACUACUUAUCUGGAGUUCCUCCUAUGGGAAAAGUUUGCACCAUCAGCACCUGGGAUUGGGUCAAAAUUCAUGAGGGAAUCAACAGAAGGUUGGGUUAGGUUAGCGUCCGCAUGGAUUACUGCCUUCCUAUGACUUAUGAUAGACCCUGCUCUGAGUACAUCUACCUCUGGACUACAUGCAAACACACACAGUAAUACGGAUUCUCAAAGAACUGCACAGCUACCUCCACCCCUUUCCCCGGCGUAUUUGUGGACUGUCUACAAACUCCCUGCCAUAUUUUGGAAAGGGAAUACACUACGUUUCCCCCUUGCCCAGUACAGUUUACAGAUGGCUCGUUAUGCUGUGGCAUGGCCAGUCUGUAUAGUGUGACGUACUAAAAGGGAAGGCUAUAUAAGGAUCUUACUUUUAACCCUCCUGCGCAUCUUUGUAAGAACAUGUAAGUAUAUAAUAAAAAAAUAAUGUUAAAUGCUUGUUAAUCUGUUGUUUGAUCUUUCCAGUCUUAUUCUGAAUUCCACAUGGUGUUGGGGGAGUGAGAGAUGCCAAGGCACUGGCAUGCAUUCUGCCAUAAGUAGAUAUAUGCCGAUACCUGCUGUGAUGUUAUUGACAUGAACUGUGACUGUAUAGAUCAUUAUUGCAACCAAGGUCCUAUA